This 940-nucleotide ribosomal RNA is filed under the name uncultured organism. RNAcentral's name for it is "bacterial SSU rRNA". It matches the Rfam family "Bacterial small subunit ribosomal RNA", at positions 39 to 988 of the family's 1533-position model. The record is from RNAcentral.
GCGGCGCGCUUAACGCAUGCAAGUCGAGCGAUGAGGCUCCCUUCGGGGAGUCAUCAGCGGCAGACGGGUGAGUAACACGUAGAUAACCUGCCCUCAAGACGGGGACAAGCGGUGGAAACAGCGGCUAAUACCCGAUAUGCUCACAGGAUCGGGAGAUCGAGUGAGGAAAGCGCCCCUUCGGGGGAGAGUGUUUGAGGAGGGAUCUGCGGCCCAUCAGCUAGUUGGUGAGGUAACGGCUCACCAAGGCGAAGACGGGUAGGGGGUGUGAGAGCAUGGCCCCCCACAAUGGGACUGAGACACGGCCCAUACUCCUACGGGAGGCAGCAGCGGGGAAUAUUGCGCAAUGGACGGAAGUCAGACGCAGCGACGCCGCGUGGGUGAGGAAGGCCUUCGGGUUGUAAAGCUCUUUUCAGGGGAGCGAGAAAGGACGGUACCCUUGGAAUAAGCGUCGGCUAACUACGUGCCAGCAGCCGCGGUAAGACGUAGGACGCAAGCGUUAUCCGGAUUUACUGGGCGUAAAGCGCCUGUAGGCGGUCAAGUAAGUCGGAUGUGAAAGCCCCGUGCUCAACGCGGGGAAGCCAUUCGAUACUGCGUGACUAGAGAACGGCAGAGGGAAACGGAAUUUCUGGUGUAGCGGUAAAAUGCGCAGAGAUCAGAAAGAACACCGAUGGCGAAGGCAGUUUCCUAGGCCGCAUCUGACGCUGAGAGGCGAAAGCUAGGGGAGCAAACAGGAUUAGAGACCCUGGUAGUCCUAGCUGUUAACGAUGGAUGCUAGGUGUGGGCCGGAAAGGUCCGUGCCGUAGUUUACGCGAUAAGCAUCCCGCCUGGGGAGUACGGCCGCAAGGCUUAAACUCCAACGAAUUGACGGGGACCCGCACAAGCAACGGAGCGUGUGGUUUAAUUCGAUGCUACACGCAGAACCUUACCUGGGCUUGACAUG